GGUCAAGAUAGCCUGCUGGGAUUAAGCCAGCGAGAACCUUGAAAACUGCAUAGUGAACAAUGUCAGGUAGAAACCUUAGUG
This 81-nucleotide unclassified non-coding RNA is filed under the name [Leptolyngbya] sp. JSC-1. RNAcentral describes it as "partial 16S-23S ribosomal RNA intergenic spacer". The record is from RNAcentral. Lineage: Bacteria; Bacillati; Cyanobacteriota.